GCCCGGGUAGCUUAACUUUCAGUAGAGCGUUGGUAAAAUCAAAGGCGGCGGUGCGAAUCCGUCCAUGGGCA
This 71-nucleotide transfer RNA is filed under the name Candidatus Gallacutalibacter pullicola. RNAcentral's name for it is "tRNA-Phe". It matches the Rfam family "tRNA". From Rfam's summary of the family: Transfer RNA (tRNA) molecules are approximately 80 nucleotides in length. Their secondary structure includes four short double-helical elements and three loops (D, anti-codon, and T loops). The record is from RNAcentral. Lineage: Bacteria; Bacillati; Bacillota; Clostridia; Eubacteriales.